Molecule: ribosomal RNA, 301 nt
Filed under: uncultured bacterium
Lineage: Bacteria
Description: partial 16S ribosomal RNA
Rfam family: Bacterial small subunit ribosomal RNA
Source: RNAcentral
CAGUAGCCGCGGUAAUACGGAGGGUGCAAGCGUUAAUCGGAAUUACUGGGCGUAAAGCGCACGCAGGCGGUCUGUCAAGUCAGAUGUGAAAUCCCCGGGCUUAACCUGGGAACUGCAUUUGAAACUGGCAGGCUAGAGUCUUGUAGAGGGGGGUAGAAUUCCAGGUGUAGCGGUGAAAUGCGUAGAGAUCUGGAGGAAUACCGGUGGCGAAGGCGGCCCCCUGGACAAAGACUGACGCUCAGGUGCGAAAGCGUGGGGAGCAAACAGGAUUAGAUACCCGGGUAGUCCCUGUCUCUUAUAC